AAGAAUGUCGCCACUGUCUGUCAGAAGAAAGCAAUAACAUGUGCGAACUGCUUAGGAUCAACUGCGACCGAGGUGUUAUGCUUGCUGAUGGGAAAACCAGAUUUUCCAUCAACGGCAAGCCUAUCUACCACUUUGUUGGAACCUCGACCUUUAGCCAAUAUACUGUCGUCCAUGUUGGCCAGGUUGCCAAGAUCAGUCCAACCGCCCCUCUUGAUAAAGUCUGUCCCAUUAGCUGUGGGAUAUGUACAGGUUUUGGGGCCACUGUGAAUGUUGCUAAACCCAAAAAGGGUCAAACUGUUGCAGUUUUUGGACUGGGUGCCGUUGGUCUUGCCGUGAGUUUAUUCUUGUUUC
RNAcentral lists this long non-coding RNA (351 nucleotides) under Gossypium barbadense (sea-island cotton). RNAcentral describes it as "long non-coding RNA (GBAR_LNC013764)". The record is from RNAcentral. Lineage: Eukaryota; Viridiplantae; Streptophyta; Magnoliopsida; Malvales; Malvaceae.